UACAUGUUCUGAUCAGCAUUUAGUAGUUACUAUCGAUUUACAAAGUACUCAACAAUCUCCCAAGCUAUUAGUAUCUUCUCAGUAUUACAAACAGAAAUUACAAUUCCAUGAUUUCACAAUUUUUAAAAAUAAUAUGAAAGAUGUUUUCUUGUAUGUUUGGCAUGAGGGUGAUGGCGGUGUAUCAGCCAAUGAAUUUGUUAGCUGUAUAAUUCAUUUCAUUGAAGGCGAAAUUCACAGAGGUUAUAAAAAGAUUACUCUCAUUUCUGAUGACUGUACAUACCAAAUAAAAACAAGAUUCUGUCAAGUGCAUUGGCAGAUAUUUCUAAAUUUAGAUCCAUUGAAAUUGAGCAAAUUAUUUUGGAAAAAGAAUACAUGAUGAUGGAGGUGGAUAGUGUCCAUUCUACACUUGAAAAGUUGUGCACUCCACC
This 428-nucleotide long non-coding RNA is filed under the name Androctonus crassicauda. The record is from RNAcentral. Lineage: Eukaryota; Metazoa; Arthropoda; Arachnida; Scorpiones; Buthidae.